CUUGCACCAAAAUCAUGGACGGACUACCUACAUUUAACUGUAGGUGGUACUCUGUCCAAUGCUGGAAUCAGCGGCCAGGCAUUCCGACACGGGCCGCAGAUCAGCAAUGUUCAUCAACUGGAGGUUGUCACAGGUUAGUUCAGAGUGGUGACUAUUAAAAUUAAAACCCUCAAAAAAAAAAAGAAGUACUCACUAAAAAGGUUGUUGCAGGAAAAGGUGAGAUUUUAAACUGUUCAGAGAGACAGAACAGCGACCUGUUUCAUGGAGUUCUUGGUGGGUUAGGUCAGUUUGGCAUCAUAACAAGGGCAAGAAUAGCAUUGGAACC
Molecule: long non-coding RNA, 325 nt
Filed under: Brassica napus (rape)
Lineage: Eukaryota; Viridiplantae; Streptophyta; Magnoliopsida; Brassicales; Brassicaceae
Description: long non-coding RNA (BNAP_LNC008319)
Source: RNAcentral